AACGAACGCUGGCGGCGUGCUUAACACAUGCAAGUCGAACGGAAAGGCCCUGCUUUUGUGGGGUGCUCGAGUGGCGAACGGGUGAGUAACACGUGAGUAACCUGCCCUUGACUUUGGGAUAACUUCAGGAAACUGGGGCUACUACCGGAUAGGAGCUCCUGCUGCAUGGUGGGGGGUGGAAAGUUUCGGCGGUUGGGGAUGGACUGGCGGCUUAUCAGCUUGUUGGUGGGGUAGUGGCUUACCAAGGCUUUGACGGGUAGCCGGCCUGAGAGGGUGACCGGCCACAUUGGGACUGAGAGACGGACCAGACGCCUACGGGAGGCAGCAGUGGGGAAUAUGGCACAAUGGUCGCAAGUCUGAUGCAGCAACGCCGCGUGCGGGAUGACGGCCUGUGGGUUGUAAACCGCUUUCGCCUGUGACGAAGCGUGAGUGACGGUAAUGGGUAAAGAAGCACCGGCUAACUACGUG
This 468-nucleotide ribosomal RNA is filed under the name uncultured bacterium. RNAcentral describes it as "partial 16S ribosomal RNA". It matches the Rfam family "Bacterial small subunit ribosomal RNA", at positions 28 to 507 of the family's 1533-position model. The record is from RNAcentral.